Molecule: ribosomal RNA, 402 nt
Filed under: bacterium
Lineage: Bacteria
Description: partial 16S ribosomal RNA
Rfam family: Bacterial small subunit ribosomal RNA
Source: RNAcentral
UGGGGAAUUUUGCACAAUGGGGGAAACCCUGAUGCAGCGACGCCGCGUGAUUUAGAAGGCCUUCGGGUUGUAAAAAUCUUUUCUAUGGGAAGAAAAUGACAGUACCACAGGAAUAAGGACCGGCUAAUUACGUGCCAGCAGCCGCGGUAAUACGUAAGGUCCGAGCGUUGUCCGGAAUCAUUGGGCGUAAAGGGUACGUAGGCGGGUAAGCAAGUUAGAAGUGAAAUCCUAUAGCUCAACUAUAGUAAGCUUUUAAAACUGCUCAUCUUGAGGUAUGGAAGGGAGAGUGGAAUUCCUAGUGUAGCGGUGAAGUGAGCAGAUAUUAGGAGGAAUACCGGUGGCGAAGGCGACUUUCUGGCCAUAACCUGACGCUGAGGUACGAAAGCGUGGGUAGCAAACAGG